UUGAACGCUGGCGGCAGGCCUAACACAUGCAAGUCGAGCGGAUGAAGGGAGUUUGCUCCUGGAUUCAGCGGCGGACGGGUGAGUAAUGCCUAGGAAUCUGCCUGGUAGUGGGGGAUAACGUCCGGAAACGGGCGCUAAUACCGCAUACGUCCUGAGGGAGAAAGUGGGGGAUCUUCGGACCUCACGCUAUCAGAUGAGCCUAGGUCGGAUUAGCUAGUUGGUGGGGUAAAGGCCUACCAAGGCGACGAUCCGUAACUGGUCUGAGAGGAUGAUCAGUCACACUGGAACUGAGACACGGUCCAGACUCCUACGGGAGGCAGCAGUGGGGAAUAUUGGACAAUGGGCGAAAGCCUGAUCCAGCCAUGCCGCGUGUGUGAAGAAGGUCUUCGGAUUGUAAAGCACUUUAAGUUGGGAGGAAGGGCAGUAAGUUAAUACCUUGCUGUUUUGACGUUACCAACAGAAUAAGCACCGGCUAACUUCGUG
Molecule: ribosomal RNA, 483 nt
Filed under: uncultured bacterium
Lineage: Bacteria
Description: partial 16S ribosomal RNA
Rfam family: Bacterial small subunit ribosomal RNA
Source: RNAcentral